RNAcentral lists this transfer RNA (87 nucleotides) under Litoribacillus peritrichatus. RNAcentral describes it as "tRNA-Leu". It matches the Rfam family "tRNA". From Rfam's summary of the family: Transfer RNA (tRNA) molecules are approximately 80 nucleotides in length. Their secondary structure includes four short double-helical elements and three loops (D, anti-codon, and T loops). RNAcentral also lists the same sequence under 4 other names. The record is from RNAcentral. Lineage: Bacteria; Pseudomonadati; Pseudomonadota; Gammaproteobacteria; Oceanospirillales; Oceanospirillaceae.
GCCGAAGUGGUGAAAUUGGUAGACACGCCAUCUUGAGGGGGUGGUGACUGUAUGGUCGUGCCGGUUCGAGUCCGGCCUUCGGCACCA